This 468-nucleotide ribosomal RNA is filed under the name uncultured bacterium. Its description in RNAcentral is "partial 16S ribosomal RNA". It matches the Rfam family "Bacterial small subunit ribosomal RNA", at positions 28 to 507 of the family's 1533-position model. The record is from RNAcentral.
GACGAACGCUGGCGGCGUGCUUAACACAUGCAAGUCGAACGGAAAGGCCCUGCUUUUGUGGUGUGCUCGAGUGGCGAACGGGUGAGUAACACGUGAGUAACCUGCUCUUGACUUUGGGAUAACUUCAGGAAACUGGGGCUAAUAUCGGAUAGGAGCUCCUGCACCAGGGAGGGGGUUGGAAAGUUUCGGCGGGUGGGGAUGGACUCGCGGCUGAUCAGCUUGUUGGUGGGGUAGUGGCUUACCAAGGCUGUGACGGGUAGCCAGCCUGGGAGGGUGACCGGCGACAUUGGGACUGAGGGAGGGCGCAGACUGCAACGGGGGGCAACGGGGGGGAGUCUUGCACAGCGAGCGGGAGCGUGAUGCGGAGGCGCCGGGUGCGGGAAGACGGCCUUUGGGGUGUGAACAGCUGUCGCCUGUGACGAAGCGUGAGUGACGGUAAUGGAUAAAGAAGCACCGGCUAACUACGUG